RNAcentral lists this long non-coding RNA (2832 nucleotides) under Vigna radiata. RNAcentral describes it as "long non-coding RNA (VRAD_LNC002251)". Lineage: Eukaryota; Viridiplantae; Streptophyta; Magnoliopsida; Fabales; Fabaceae. The record is from RNAcentral.
ACGAGAACUCACCACCAAAGCACAAUUUCUUCUCCCUCUUUUCUUCAUUUCCAUAUCUUCCCUCUACCAUAACUUAGGUUCUAACAGUUGGUUUCUCAAAUUGAAGCUACCUAGGCCUUCCGGACUUCAAGAGGAGCAUUUCUACCGAUUGAAUCUCCAUUUCAUCUAACGGGUAAGAAAACCCCUUUCUCCAUUGUUCCUAGGGUUGUAAACAUGCAAUUUCUUGCUACAAGCAACCCAUUUCGUUUUCUUCCAUAAUCUAGCUUCUAUUUGGUUCUAAAAUUCGUUCUCCAUCAUCAAUUGAUGAUUUUAGGUGAUUCUCACACUUUGGGUUCAAAGUACUUGGUCUACGAUCAUUCCUUGAGUUGGUCGUGCACCCUAGAGGUAAGGGGAGCUAGUUCUUCUUUUCAUUUUAGUGGUAUGCCUUGAAUGUAUGAUAAUUUUGAUGUUGUAUGUUGUUGGAGGCAUGAAAUUGGUUAUAUAGACUUGAAAUGCAUGAAUGGAAAUGUGUAUGUUGUGUGAAUUUGAUGACUGAUGAUUAUGAACUGUUUGGGACGUUUUUGAAUGAUGAAUUAUGCAUGUUGGAACUGUUUUGGUGGGGAAAUUUGUUGUGGCACUAUUUGGAAGGGAAUCAAAGAUCUUAGGGUCACUUUUUAGUCAUUUUAGAGGAAGUGAGGUAGUGAUUUUGAGUAAAUGGGGUUUGUCACGUUUUUGGACUGUUGGGACAACUUCAUGCAAUGUAUUGUAACUUGUUUGAGUCACUAAAUUGGUCAAAAUAAGUACCAAAUGGUAAGAUUGGGUUUUGGGUCCCUAAGUUGGGAAAAUGAGUGUUUUAGAGUUGAAAGGAAGCUUAAAUCACUUUAGAAAUGUGUUAGUAAUGUUUAGAAUCACUUAGAUAAGUUUAAUUAUGUCUAAAACAAAGAUUAGGAGUGUUAGAAGUUGGCAAAAGUGGUUGAAAAUGGUCUUAGCUGGUUCUGUCGAGUUCUGCAUAAUUCUGCAAAACUCUGUAUAAUUCUGCAGAGUUUGGCCGUCCAGUUUGGAUGGCCUUGGUCAGAGAAGGUUCUCCCUUCUCCUGAUCGUUCGGUUUGGUAGGCCUGGUCAGGGAAGGAUGACUCCUUCACUUGACCGUCCGGUUUGGAGGUCUUGGUCAGAGAAGAUUCCCCCUUCUCUUGACCGUUCGGUCUGGUUACCUUGGUCAGAGAGGGUAUUCCCUUCUCAUGACCGUUCGGUUAGCUUUGCUUUCUGCCAUGGGAGGAUUUUGUUCACCCCAUAACCGUCCGGUCCUGAUCUAUUUCUAUCUUAGGUGUGCUUUCGGUCAGAGAAGGUUUCCCUUCUCUUGACCGUACGGUCUGGUCUCCUUGGUCAGAGAAGGAUCCCCCUUCUCUUGACCGUUCGGUCAUGGAGCUUUGGUGAGAGAAGGAUGUUUCCUUCUCAAACCGUCUGGUCAUGGAACCCUGGUCAGAGAAGGUUCUCCCUUCUCUUGACCGUUCGGUUUGGCACUGCAGGUCAGAGUGAGGUCCUUUCUUCUCUUGAUCGUUCGGUCUGGCAGGUGUGCUUUCGGUCAGAGAAGGUAUUUCUUUCUCUUGACCGUCCGGUCUGAGUCUUGGUUAGAGAAGGAGGUUUCCUUCUCAACCGUUCGGUCUGGUGAAUCUUCGUUAGAGAGGGAAGCUUCCUUCUCAACCGUUCGGUCUGGUGAGUUUUGGUUAGAGAAGGAGGUUUCUUUCUUAAACCGUCCGGUUUAGUAGGUUCUGAGUCAGGGAAGGUGAUUCCUUCUCAUGACCGUUCGGUCAAAUAUGGUUAUGGUAAGUUGUUUUUUCGCAUGACCGUUCGGUCAGAUAUACUUUCGGCCAGGGAAGGAUUGUUCCAUCUCGUAACCGUUCGGUCUGGCCAGGGUGCCUGUUAAUGGUACCCAAUUCAAUCCCAAUGGUUCGGUCACUGCUACUAGUGUUCGGUUUAUUGCUUAGAGCUUGUGGUUGGUUGGUUUAUCUGAUUGUUUGUGGCAAAUUAAGGUGUGUAUGAUUUAUAUGACUCGGAAAAGUAUCAAGUAAUUGGAUUGGUUGGAUUCGGUUGCGAAAUUAAGAUCUCUCGGUGGGAUCAAUUAGUGUAUUGAAUGUAUGUAAGAGGCUUCCACUAUGGGGGGUUAUCCCUAACACUCUAACGGUCUUUCAUUCUCACUUAGAGAGGAUUGACGCGUGUGGUGAGAGUAGUGGGAGGUCCUAGGGUAGGCGCUUUCACUGUAGGCCUAUACUGCGGUAACGGACCAGCCUUGUGUAUGGUCGGGUGGAACCCCUCGGCAAUGGCUUUGCAAAGCAGUAGGGCCAUCACAAGUGCACAACCCGCCUCAGCUCUAUAUACAUUCUAUGUCCGGACGUGUCUAGGAGUCUUAACAUGACAUGAUGUUUGCUUUAGUAAGUUUUGUGAAAUCAAUGUUUAUGUUUAUGAUGACUUAUAUGUUUAAGUGUGUAUGAACGUUUCUUGCAAUGAAUUGUAUGUUUGUUUGAAAACUAGCUCACCCUUGCACUUGUAUGUUGUGUGUGUUUACUUCCUCCCUUGCGAUGAUCAUCCAAUCCUUUGGAUGUGAGCAGUAGGUGAUGCGGUACCCUUGGAGCAGGCGUGGGAGGCUGAGGAAGAUCCAACACCUAGUGCUUAGGCAAUCAUGUUGUUUAUUUCUUUUUAGCUUAUCAUAUUUUGCAAAACCUUGGACCUUUGUACUUGAGUUACUUGUCGUUUUAAUUUCCCCUCUAUUUUGGAUGACUGUAAUUUAUACCUAUACAGUUAUCUUCUACUCCUAACUGCUUCCCAUUAUUAUAAUAUGUUACAUUCCAUUUGGUA